Ictalurus punctatus (channel catfish) is the source of this 460-nucleotide long non-coding RNA. Lineage: Eukaryota; Metazoa; Chordata; Actinopteri; Siluriformes; Ictaluridae. The record is from Ensembl.
AUCGCUUCUACUUCUCCCAAAUAAGCACAACUCCUGGUCUACUCCAGCUUCUCCUCCAGCAGGAUUUCCAGCUUCCACUGUGAUCACUGUGUCUGUAAUUCUGCUGCUGCUUCUGACUGGAGUCAUAUUCCUCAUUGUGAUUCUACAUAAGAGACUCAGGACGCAAAGCCCAGGAACAAUGACACCAACUUACAGAGAGACAAAUGGAGAUUAUGAAAAUGACCCAAAUGUGCUCCAUUUCCAGUCAAGACAAAUGACCAACCGAUCAGAUUCGGUCUAUCAAAGUCUGAACCCCGACACCAACCAAUCAGAUUCAGUCUAUCAAAGUCUGAACCCCAACACCAACCAAUCAGAUUCGGUCUAUCAAAGUGUGAACCCCAACACCAACCAAUCAGAUUCGGUCUAUCAAAGUCUGAACCCCAACACCAACCAAUCAGAUUCAGUCUACCAAAGUCUCAAG